Molecule: long non-coding RNA, 2870 nt
Filed under: Homo sapiens (human)
Lineage: Eukaryota; Metazoa; Chordata; Mammalia; Primates; Hominidae
Description: HSALNT0257492
Source: RNAcentral
GAGGAGACUGUAACGUAUCCCUAAUUGAGCACCCAGGUGGUGUGACACUUCUGCCCUGUCCCUGCCCUCAGAGGAGAUUCUGACAUAUCACUGCCCCAAAAUGCAGCACCUGAGUAAUUUGACUCUCCUGCCUGGACCCAGCGUACAGAUGGGAUUGUGCUUCAUUGCUGGACCCAGCAUUUAGGCCCACUACCUAUGAGAUUGCAUGCUCCUGCCUGGGCUGUGCCCACAGUGACCUUGUGACAUAUAUCUGCAUCCAUGACCUAAAAGAUGUGACACUUCUUGCCUGCAACCUGCCCUGCACAGGAAAGAUUGCGACUUCUCCCUGGAAGCAGACACCAGGGAUCGUCACUCCCGUGGAUGAUCAAAGCUACUCCGGGGGCUGAGGCAGGAGAAUCGCUUGAACUCGGGAAGCAGAAGUUGCAGUGAGCCAAGGUCGCACCACUGCACUCCAGCCCAGGCGACAUUGUGAGACUCCAUCUCAAAAAAAAAAAAAAGAAAAAAAGUGUACUAACAAGACCCAGCACACAGAGGAGACUUUUACCAUUGUAUGAACACCCAUCAAACAGUACACAUCAUCAUUGUGAGUUCUGAAUCUCACACAUAGAGGAAGUCAAAGGUGGAAAACUUGACUCUCAUAUUUGGAUCCAGUCCACAGGUGUGAUUUUGACGCACACUUCUGCCCAGCACCUGAGUAAUGUGAUUCUUCAGAAUUGGCCCGGCCCACAAAUAGGAUUGUGCCACACUGCUGGACCCAGUGCCUAAGUGAUGUAACUCUAUUCUUCUGCCUUGGUGCUACUCGAAAAAGACAUUGUAACAUAUCUCAGAGCCUUACACCCAGGUAAUGUGAGUCUCCUCUUCUGCCUUGCUGCUGCACACAGAAGCGGAAUAUGUACAGGAUUGUUAAUCUCAUCUUGGAUCUUCCUGCACUUGUGAUUGUGACACAUGCCUCUGUGUAGAACCUGAGUGAGUUUACUCUCCUGCCUGGAUUUAACCCAUAGAUGGAAUCGUGACAUAUCACUGUACCAGAAACUAGGUGAUGUGACUCUAUUUUCUUGCCUCUGUGUUUUUAUAUGGGGCAUCGUGACAUAUCACUGGGCCUUGCACCCAAGUGAUGGGAGUUUUCUCUCCUGCUUUGGUGCCGUCCACAAUGAAAAUUGUGAAAUAUUGCUGCCCUCCCCACUAGGUUAUGUUACUCUCCUGCCUCUGCUUUGCCCACAUGGGUCACUGUGACAUAUUGCUGGGUCUAAAACCCAGGUAAUGUCACUCUCUUGUUUGGGUUCUGCCUGCAGGAGUCAUUGUCACAUAUCUCUAUGCUCAUCACCCAGGUAAUAUGAUUCCCUUUUACUGCUUAGUUCCUUCUCACAAAACAACUUGUGACAUAUUGCUAGGCCCAAUACACCUAGCUGGUGUAACUCUUCUUUUCUUUUCUUUCCUUUUUUUUUUUUUUUUUUUGAGAUGGAGUCUCACUCUGUUGCCCAGGCUGGAGUGCAGCGGCAUGAUUUCAGCUCACUACAGCCUCUGCCUCCUAGGUUGAAGCGAUUGUCCUGACUUGGCCUCCCAAGUAGCUGGGAUUAAAGGCAUGUGCCACCACGCCCGGCUAAUUUUUGUAUUUAUAGUAGAGACAGGGUUUCGCCAUGUUGGCUAGGCUGGUUUCGAACUUCUAACCUCAGGUGAUCCUCCUGCCUCGGCCUCCCAAAGUACUGGAAUUACAGGCAUGAGCCACUGCACCUGGCCUGAUUCUUCUCUUCUUUCUAGGUUUCAACUGCAGCAGAGAUUGUAACAAACCACUGGGCCCAGCCGCAUAAUGAUGUUACUCUUUUGCCUUGGGCCUGCCCUCAGAAGGCACUGUCACAUAUUCAUGGGCCCAACGCCAAGGUGAUAUGUGUCUCCAGCCUGGACCCUGCCCACAGGGGGCAUUGUGACAUAUCUCUUGGCCCAUCAGAUGUUUGAUUGUUAUCCCCUCCCCUCUUCUACCCUGUGUUUGCCUAUAAAAGACACAGUCAUAUGUUCCUGGGCCCAGCACCUAGGUGUUGUCUUACUGGAAUGUGUCCACAUGGGGAUUGUGAUAUGUCACGUGGCCCAGUACUUAACUUGAUGUGACUCUCCUCUCAUGCCUAGGCCUUGUAGAGAAUCCCCUUCCCCUUUUGUUUUCCUUUUUUUCUUUGCAGAUCCAGGAGAUAAUCAACUAAGAGCCAGGCACCCGUUUAGGUCUAAUAAACAUUUUACAAACUGCUCUCUCUUUUAAUUCACCUAUCUGAGAGAUUCCUCUGUACAAUAAAACUUGGUCUCCACAAUCCUUUACCUUAACCUAAACCUUCCCUUUCAUUGAUCCCAGGUCUUCAGAUUCCACCACUUGUCAACCACAAAAUAUUUAAAUUUACCUGGAAGCCGCCCGCUUUGAGUUGUCCCGCCUUUCUGAACCAAACCAAUAUAUUCCUGCAAAACCGGCCAUGAUUAAAACAUCAAAAAAUAAUACAUGUUGGCGUGGCUGUGGUGAAAAAAGAAUACUUUUUCACUGCUGGUGGGUAUGUAAACUAGUACAACCACUAUGAAAAACAGUAUGGAGAUUCAUUAAAUAAAAGUAAAGCUACCAUUUGAUUAAGCAAUUCUACUACUGUGUAUCUACAUGAAGAAAAAGAAAUUAUAUGUGUAAGACACUUGCACACACAUGUUUAUAGCAGCACAAUUUGCAAUUGCAAAAAUAUGGAAGCAGCCUAAUGCCCAUCAGCUAAUGAGUGGAAAAAGAAAAUGUGGCAUAUAUAUACCAAUGCAUACUACUCAGCCCUAACGAGGAAUAAAAUAAUAGCAUUUGCAGCAAUCUCGAUUUAGUUGGAGACCAUUAUUCUAAGUAACUCAGCAAUAAAAAA